CUCAAACGAUAGAGAUAAAAGUAAAAAGUCCUCAGAUAGUGGACUCACCUGAAAGUCUCCUUCAAUUAUCCAUCACUUCUUCAUUUUUCACUGGAUGAAAUCAAUUGCAAACUUACAAAUCAUAGUCGCUUGAUAUUUCUUCACCAUCCUCUAUAGCUCCUUUUUAAAGAAGACCACCAAUUCAUUGACGUAUGCCUCCAAAGCCAAGAUGUCCUCCUCUGAAGGUCGAGGCAUCUCUCAAUAAAAACAACAAAGGCCUUGCACAACUUGAGCCAAAUAAUGGUCAUGAUUCAUACUC
This 298-nucleotide long non-coding RNA is filed under the name Elaeis guineensis (African oil palm). RNAcentral's name for it is "long non-coding RNA (EGUI_LNC019939)". Lineage: Eukaryota; Viridiplantae; Streptophyta; Magnoliopsida; Arecales; Arecaceae. The record is from RNAcentral.